CCCACUCCCGGCACGGGGAGGUAGUGACGAAAAAUAACGAUACGGGACUCAUCCGAGGCCCCGUAAUCGGAAUGAGUACACUUUAAAUCCUUUAACAAGGAUCCAUUGGAGGGCAAGCCUGGUGCCAGCAGCCGCGGUAAUUCCAGCUCCAAUAGCGUAUAUUAAAGUUGUUGCGGUUAAAAAGCUCGUAGUUGAAUCUGUGUCCCACACUGUCGGUUCACCGCUCGCGGUGUUCAACUGGCAUGUCUGUGGGACGUCCUACCGGUGGGCGCAGCCCGUCAAAAGGCGGCCCAACUCAAAAUCCUACCACGGUGCUCUUCACCGAGUGUCGAGGUGGGCCGGUACGUUUACUUUGAACAAAUUAGAGUGCUUAAAGCAGGCUCAUUCGCCUGAAUAUUCUGUGCAUGGAAUAAUGGAAUAGGACCUCGGUUCUAUUUUGUUGGUUUUCGGAACUCCGAGGUAAUGAUUAAUAGGGACAACUGGGGGCAUUCGUAUUGCGACGUUAGAGGUGAAAUUCUUGGAUCGUCGCAGGACGGACUGAAGCGAAAGAAAUGUGUUUUCAUCAAUCAAGAACGAAAGUUAGAGGUCCGAAGGCGAUCAGAUACCGCCCUAGUUCUAACCAUAAACGAUGCCAGCUAGCGAUCCGCCGAAGUUCCUCCGAUGACUCGGCGGGCAGCUUCCGGGAAACCAAAGCUUUUGGGUUCCGGGGGAAGUAUGGUUGCAAAGCUGAAACUUAAAGGAAUUGACGGAAGGGCACCACCAGGAGUGGGGCCUGCGGCUCAAUUUGACUCAACACGGGAAACCUCACCAGGCCCGGACACCGGAAGGAUUGACAGAUUGAGAGCUCUUUCUUGAUUCGGUGGGUGGUGGUGCAUGGCCGUUCUUAGUUGGUGGAGCGAUUUGUCAGGUUAAUUCCGAUAACGAACGAGACUCUAGCCUGCUAAAUAGGCGUACUUUCCGGUAUCUCGAAGGCCCGCCGGUCGGCUUCGGUCCGUGUGUGGUUUUUACUACCGGCGUACACAUAUAUCUUCUUAGAGGGACAGGUGGCUUUUAGUCGCACGAGAUUGAGCAAUAACAGGUCAGGAAUGCCCUUAGAUGUUCUGGGCCGCACGCGCGCCACACUGAAGGGAUCAGCAGGUUUUCCUUGGCCGAAAGGUCCGGGUAAUCCGUUGAAGCCCCUUCGUGCUAGGGAUUGGGGCUUGCAAUUCUUCCCCAUGAACGAGGAAUUCCCAGUAAGCGCGAGUCAUAAGCUUGCGUUGAUUACGUCCCUGCCCUUUGUACACACCGCCCGUCGCUACUACCGAUUGAAUGAUUUAAUGAGGUCUUCGGACUGGUGCGCGGCAUUGCCGAUGUUGCUGGGAAGAUGACCAAAUUUGAU
This 1378-nucleotide ribosomal RNA is filed under the name Wenzella obscura. RNAcentral's name for it is "SSU rRNA". It matches the Rfam family "Eukaryotic small subunit ribosomal RNA", at positions 444 to 1769 of the family's 1831-position model. The record is from RNAcentral. Lineage: Eukaryota; Metazoa; Arthropoda; Insecta; Siphonaptera; Hystrichopsyllidae.